CAUGCAGUCGAGCGGAGAGAGGUAGCUUGCUACUGAUCUUAGCGGCGGACGGGUGAGUAAUACUUAGGAAUCUGGCUAUUAGUGGGGGACAACAUUUCGAAAGGGAUGCUAAUACCGCAUACGUCCUACGGGAGAAAGCAGGGGAUCUUCGGACCUUGCGCUAAUAGAUGAGCCUAAGUCGGAUUAGCUAGUUGGUGGGGUAAAGGCCUACCAAGGCGACGAUCUGUAGCGGGUCUGAGAGGAUGAUCCGCCACACUGGGACUGAGACACGGCCCAGACUCCUACGGGAGGCAGCAGUGGGGAAUAUUGGACAAUGGGGGGAACCCUGAUCCAGCCAUGCCGCGUGUGUGAAGAAGGCCUUAUGGUUGUAAAGCACUUUAAGCGAGGAGGAGGGUACUGGUAUUAAUACUACCAGGUACUGGACGUUACUCGCAGAAUAAGCACCGGCUAACUCUGUGCCAGCAGCCGCGGUAAUACAGAGGGUGCGAGCGUUAAUCGGAUUUACUGGGCGUAAAGCGUGCGUAGGCGGCUAAUUGAGUCGGAUGUGAAAUCCCCGAGCUUAACUUGGGAAUUGCAUUCGAUACUGGUUAGCUAGAGUGUGGGAGAGGAUGGUAGAAUUCCAGGUGUAGCGGUGAAAUGCGUAGAGAUCUGGAGGAAUACCGAUGGCGAAGGCAGCCAUCUGGCCUAACACUGACGCUGAGGUACGAAAGCAUGGGGAGCAAACAGGAUUAGAUACCCUGGUAGUCCAUGCCGUAAACGAUGUCUACUAGCCGUUGGUCUCUUUGAGGGAUUAGUGGCGCAGCUAACGCGAUAAGU
This 816-nucleotide ribosomal RNA is filed under the name Acinetobacter sp. SE8. RNAcentral's name for it is "bacterial SSU rRNA". It matches the Rfam family "Bacterial small subunit ribosomal RNA", at positions 54 to 865 of the family's 1533-position model. The record is from RNAcentral. Lineage: Bacteria; Pseudomonadati; Pseudomonadota; Gammaproteobacteria; Moraxellales; Moraxellaceae.